Molecule: non-coding RNA, 428 nt
Organism: Arachis ipaensis
Lineage: Eukaryota; Viridiplantae; Streptophyta; Magnoliopsida; Fabales; Fabaceae
Source: RefSeq, a predicted model, not a curated record
GACCUGUAACAUUUUCUUCCUUGCUUUGUUACCAUUUUGUUCCUCUGUCAUAUUUCCGUCCUAAUUAUGUUAGCAUAUUUUAUUCUAGUGUUGCUAAUUUAUCUCCUAAACAAUUAUGAUUGGUGCUGAGAUCAUUGUUGCUGCUGCUCCAAGAGGAAAGUUGUUGCUACUAGGAAUUAAAAACAAACGAAUGGUUUGUUGCGUUUAAUUACCAAGUUUUGGCUAAUUGAGAAUGUUCCUUACUUGGGAUGCAGUGCCUUGUAUACUUAUUUUCAGGUGUGUGGCACUUAUUAGAACUUCUCCAUGAGAAAUGAGAAAGGAGCUGUAUGAACAUGAUGGAGUUUGUAAUUUGUAGUUUACAUUUUGGAGAUUUAUAAUUCCUUGUUUUUCUUGUCUUAUGUAUCUAUCUAGUUCAUUAGGGUUCUUCA